RNAcentral lists this ribosomal RNA (348 nucleotides) under uncultured bacterium. RNAcentral describes it as "partial 16S ribosomal RNA". It matches the Rfam family "Bacterial small subunit ribosomal RNA", at positions 917 to 1269 of the family's 1533-position model. The record is from RNAcentral.
GGGCCCGCACAAGCGGUGGAGCAUGUGGUUUAAUUCGAUGCACGCGAAGAACCUUACCAGGGUUUGACAUAGUACGAAGUUUUUUGAAAAAAAAGCCACCUCGGGAACGUACAUACAGGUGGUGCAUGGCUGUCGUCAGCUCGUGUCGUGAGAUGUUGGGUUAAGUCCCGCAACGAGCGUAACCCUUGUUUUUAGUUGCCAGCAUUUAGUUGGGCACUCUAGAGAGACCGCCGGUGAUAAACCGGAGGAAGGUGUGGAUGACGUCAAGUCAUCAUGCCCCUUACAUCCUGGGCUACACACGUACUACAAUGCUACGGACAAAGAGCAGCAAGUUCGCGAGGACAAGCA